CUUCCAGAAGAUCAUCCAGCAAUGAAUGACCUUAUCAAUUACACUGUACUAUGGAGUCCCACUUCAGAAUGCUGUGCUAAAAGAGAAGAGGAAGAGAUGGUAGGUUUUCCCUUGUCUCCUUUCUAUAGCACGAGCUCUUUCCCCCAUG
Molecule: long non-coding RNA, 148 nt
Filed under: Monodelphis domestica (gray short-tailed opossum)
Lineage: Eukaryota; Metazoa; Chordata; Mammalia; Didelphimorphia; Didelphidae
Description: lncRNA (ENSMODG00000034204.2)
Source: RNAcentral